CCUACGGGUGGCAGCAGUGAGGAAUAUUGGUCAAUGGGCGUAAGCCUGAACCAGCCAAGUCGCGUGAGGGAUGAAGGUUCUAUGGAUCGUAAACCUCUUUUAUCAGGGAAUAAAGUGUGGGACGUGUCCUGUUUUGUAUGUACCUUAUGAAUAAGGAUCGGAUAACUCCGUUCCAGCAGCCGCGGUAAUACGGAGGAUACGAGCGUUAUCCGGAUUGAUUGGGUUUAAAGGGUGCGUAGGCGGCCUUUUAAGUCAGCGGUGAAAGUCUGUGGCUCAACCAUAGAAUUGCCGUUGAAACUUGGCGGCUUGAGUAUGUUUGAGGAAGGUGGAAUGCGUGGUGUAGCGGUGAAAUGCUUAGAUAUCACGCAGAAGCCCGAUUGCGAAGGCAGCCUGCCAAGCCAUGACUGACGCUGAUGCACGAAAGCGUGGGGAUCAAACAGGAUUAGAUACCCCAGUAGUC
This 460-nucleotide ribosomal RNA is filed under the name uncultured bacterium. RNAcentral's name for it is "partial 16S ribosomal RNA". It matches the Rfam family "Bacterial small subunit ribosomal RNA", at positions 338 to 795 of the family's 1533-position model. The record is from RNAcentral.